Molecule: ribosomal RNA, 254 nt
Filed under: uncultured bacterium
Lineage: Bacteria
Description: partial 16S ribosomal RNA
Rfam family: Bacterial small subunit ribosomal RNA
Source: RNAcentral
UACGUAGGGCGCGAGCGUUGUCCGGAUUUAUUGGGCGUAAAGAGCUCGUAGGCGGCUUGUCGCGUCGACUGUGAAAACCCGCGGCUCAACCGUGUGGUCUGCAGUCGAUACGGGCAGGCUAGAGUUCGGUAGGGGAGACUGGAAUUUACGGUGUAGCGGUGAAAUGCGUAGAUAUCUGGAGGAACACCGGUGGCGAAGGCGGCGUCCUGGACCAACACUGACACUGAUGAGCGAAAGCCAGGGGAGCAAACGGG